GAAAAAGCGUUGACGAGAAAGAGUAAAUUUAAUUUUAGUUUUAAAGAGAGCCCUUGUUUGGUGUAAAAGGGAAAACGAAUUAAAUAGAAUACAUCUCAGAGCAGCACUCCCAAAAGAUAACAACCAGUAGGAAGAUGUCGUAAGUGCACACGUUACAGUGCUAGAGUAUAACUAAGUUUUUAGAGUACUUGAUGAGUUUAUUAUGGUGACGUAAUAAAGAAUUAAGGUGGUAUCGCGUGAUUAUAUCCCGUCCUUUAU
Molecule: non-coding RNA, 258 nt
Filed under: Sarcina ventriculi
Lineage: Bacteria; Bacillati; Bacillota; Clostridia; Eubacteriales; Clostridiaceae
Description: Clostridium ventriculi T-box sequence
Rfam family: T-box leader
About the family: Uncharged tRNA acts as the effector for transcription antitermination of genes in the T-box leader family.
Source: RNAcentral